GGUCUGUUCGCCCUUUAAAAUCUAACAUGAGCUGAGUUCAGAACGGCGUGAGCUAGUUCAGUUUCUAUCCUCUUUUUAAAAUGAGCUAAUUUUGUACGAAAGGACUUUUUCGCUAAAGCAAUGCUUUGUCACAAAUCUGUGGUUGCAUAAAUAAUAGUGUAUAACAGGUUGAUUAGCCUAUAGGAAGGGUUA
This 192-nucleotide ribosomal RNA is filed under the name Mytilus trossulus (common blue mussel). Its description in RNAcentral is "partial 16S ribosomal RNA". Lineage: Eukaryota; Metazoa; Mollusca; Bivalvia; Mytilida; Mytilidae. The record is from RNAcentral.